Molecule: ribosomal RNA, 484 nt
Filed under: uncultured bacterium
Lineage: Bacteria
Description: partial 16S ribosomal RNA
Rfam family: Bacterial small subunit ribosomal RNA
Source: RNAcentral
AUUGAACGCUGGCGGCAGGCCUAACACAUGCCAGUCGAGCGGAUGAAGGGAGCUUGCUCCUGGAUUCAGCGGCGGACGGGUGAGUAAUGCCUAGGAAUCUGCCUGGUAGUGGGGGAUAACGUCCGGAAACGGGCGCUAAUACCGCAUACGUCCUGAGGGAGAAAGUGGGGGAUCUUCGGACCUCACGCUAUCAGAUGAGCCUAGGUCGGAUUAGCUAGUUGGUGGGGUAAAGGCCUACCAAGGCGACGAUCCGUAACUGGUCUGAGAGGAUGAUCAGUCACACUGGAACUGAGACGCGGUCCAGACUCCUACGGGAGGCAGCAGUGGGGAAUAUUGGACAAUGGGCGAAAGCCUGAUCCAGCCAUGCCGCGUGUGUGAAGAAGGUCUUCGGAUUGUAAAGCACUUUAAGUUGGGAGGAAGGGCAGUAAGUUAAUACCUUGCUGUUUUGACGUUACCAACAGAAUAAGCACCGGCUAACUUCGUG